Molecule: long non-coding RNA, 520 nt
Filed under: Oryctolagus cuniculus (rabbit)
Lineage: Eukaryota; Metazoa; Chordata; Mammalia; Lagomorpha; Leporidae
Description: lncRNA (ENSOCUG00000034351.1)
Source: RNAcentral
AUGAGGCGUCGGGAGGUGUGGGGCCGGGAGAACAUUGCUCUGCCUGGUUUCCUAGGCGGAGGCAGGUGUGUUGUCGGCAGAGACCCUCACUCAGGCCAAGUGCGUGAUGUCUCUUCUUCUUCCGCAGACGCCGAGCCCGGCACCCGGGAACCUGUUCCGGACGUGCCGCUCCCAACCAUGACUCCCAGCACCGAGGAGGCUGACCACGACCCCGACCACGACCACGACCACGACCACGACCACGACGCCGAGCCCGGCACCCGGGAACCUGUUCCGGACGUGCCGCUCCCAACCAUGACUCCCAGCACCGAGGCUGACCACGACCAUGACCACGACCACGACGCCGAGCCCGGCACCCGGGAACCUGUUCCGGACGUGCCGCUCCCAACCAUGACUCCCAGCACCGAGGCUGACCACGACCACGACCACGACCACGACCACGACCACGACCACGACGCCGAGCCCGGCACCCGGGAACCUGUUCCGGACGUGCCGCUCCCAACCAUGACUCCCAGCACCG